RNAcentral lists this ribosomal RNA (253 nucleotides) under uncultured bacterium. RNAcentral describes it as "partial 16S ribosomal RNA". It matches the Rfam family "Bacterial small subunit ribosomal RNA", at positions 524 to 776 of the family's 1533-position model. The record is from RNAcentral.
UACAGAGGGUGCGAGCGUUAAUCGGAAUUACUGGGCGUAAAGCGUGCGUAGACGGUUACAUAAGUCGGGUGUGAAAGCCCCGGGCUCAACCUGGGAAUGGCGAUGGAUACUGGCUCGCUAGAGUGCGGUAGAGGAGAGUGGAAUUCCCGGUGUAGCAGUGAAAUGCGUAGAGAUCGGGAGGAACAUCAGUUGCGAAGGCGGCUCUCUGGACCAGCACUGACACUGAGGCACGAAAGCGUGGGGAGCAAACAGG